UGCAGUCGAACGGUGAAGCAGAGCUUGCUCUGUGGAUCAGUGGCGAACGGGUGAGUAACACGUGAGCAAUCUGCCCCUGACUCUGGGAUAAGCGCUGGAAACGGCGUCUAAUACCGGAUACGAGCUGCGACCGCAUGGUCAGUAGCUGGAAAGAAUUUCGGUCAGGGAUGAGCUCGCGGCCUAUCAGCUUGUUGGUGAGGUAAUGGCUCACCAAGGCGUCGACGGGUAGCCGGCCUGAGAGGGUGACCGGCCACACUGGGACUGAGACACGGCCCAGACUCCUACGGGAGGCAGCAGUGGGGAAUAUUGCACAAUGGGCGAAAGCCUGAUGCAGCAACGCCGCGUGAGGGAUGACGGCCUUCGGGUUGUAAACCUCUUUUAGCAGGGAAGAAGCGAAAGUGACGGUACCUGCAGAAAAAGCGCCGGCUAACUACGUGCCAGCAGCCGCGGUAAUACGUAGGGCGCAAGCGUUAUCCGGAAUUAUUGGGCGUAAAGAGCUCGUAGGCGGUCUGUCGCGUCUGCUGUGAAAACCCGAGGCUCAACCUCGGGCCUGCAGUGGGUACGGGCAGACUAGAGUGCGGUAGGGGAGAUUGGAAUUCCUGGUGUAGCGGUGGAAUGCGCAGAUAUCAGGAGGAACACCGAUGGCGAAGGCAGAUCUCUGGGCCGUAACUGACGCUGAGGAGCGAAAGGGUGGGGAGCAAACAGGCUUAGAUACCCUGGUAGUCCACCCCGUAAACGUUGGGAACUAGUUGUGGGGUCCAUUCCACGGAUUCCGUGACGCAGCUAACGCAUUAAGUUCCCCGCCUGGGGAGUACGGCCGCAAGGCUAAAACUCAAAGGAAUUGACGGGGACCCGCACAAGCGGCGGAGCAUGCGGAUUAAUUCGAUGCAACGCGAAGAACCUUACCAAGGCUUGACAUAUAGAGGAAACGUCUGGAAACAGUCGCCCCGCAAGGUCUCUAUACAGGUGGUGCAUGGUUGUCGUCAGCUCGUGUCGUGAGAUGUUGGGUUAAGUCCCGCAACGAGCGCAACCCUCGUUCUAUGUUGCCAGCACGUAAUGGUGGGAACUCAUGGGAUACUGCCGGGGUCAACUCGGAGGAAGGUGGGGAUGACGUCAAAUCAUCAUGCCCCUUAUGUCUUGGGCUUCACGCAUGCUACAAUGGCCGGUACAAAGGGCUGCAAUACCGUGAGGUGGAGCGAAUCCCAAAAAGCCGGUCCCAGUUCGGAUUGAGGUCUGCAACUCGACCUCAUGAAGUCGGAGUCGCUAGUAAUCGCAGAUCAGCAACGCUGCGGUGAAUACGUUCCCGGGUCUUGUACACACCGCCCGUCAAGUCAUGAAAGUCGGUAACACCUGAAGCCGGUGGCCCAACCCUUGUGGAGGAGC
This 1383-nucleotide ribosomal RNA is filed under the name Microbacterium arborescens. Its description in RNAcentral is "bacterial SSU rRNA". It matches the Rfam family "Bacterial small subunit ribosomal RNA". The record is from RNAcentral. Lineage: Bacteria; Bacillati; Actinomycetota; Actinomycetes; Micrococcales; Microbacteriaceae.